Molecule: unclassified non-coding RNA, 1570 nt
Filed under: Hevea brasiliensis (rubber tree)
Lineage: Eukaryota; Viridiplantae; Streptophyta; Magnoliopsida; Malpighiales; Euphorbiaceae
Source: RNAcentral
CCAUUUCACUGGCCAAAGCAACCAUAGAAAGAGAGAGCAAAAUACAUGUAUCACAACUGGUAAAAAAAAAAAAUUUGAAGGGCCUAUAGGAAACUGCAUUUUGAUAUUUCUAUGACCAUAGUUGCUGUUUUCUCCAGCAAGAAGCAUGAAAAUGCUCUGAAAACUUUCUGAUGCACAACACCUAUUUCAGCUUUGUUCAUCAUCAUCACUGUUUGUUUUUUGUUUAGUCGAGAAUUUGCCUUCUGUAAAUCCUCUUCAUAUUGAUUGAGGAAGAUGAUUAAGAGUAGAACGAAUAGGUCUUAGCUUGAAGUAUUAUUUGCCUCAAUCCUCCAAUGGGAGAUAAAAUCAUUAACAGAACACCUAAUACAAUGCAGAUCCAGUUAGUCCACCAAGAUAAGCCAAACUUUCUUGGUUUGUAGAUGGCCAGCCACAUUAUGCAGGGGAGGAAGUAUGUAGUUGGGGCAAAAGCAAAUCCACCAAAAAAGGAAAGGAGACCACCAAAGAAAGGGAAGGUGAUGCCAACAAACAUUGUAAGUCCCACAUAAAGGUUGCGUACAAAAAAGCGAAGAAUAAAGCUGGGCUUGAAAUGCAAUUUCUUUACCAAUAGAGUUUCUACCAUGUCAAACACUGGCAUUGCAUAAAUCUGGUAGCUUCCAAUGACAUGAAUCACAACAAACAUGUUAGCCAUUGCAAUGAGCCAUGUAGGCUUAUUCAACGAGAGGAGGAUAUUGUCUUCGACUGCAUUACCAUACAUCCAAUAGCCAAUUAGAGCAACAGGGAAGUAGCACAAGGCGACAACUAUGUAGGCAACGACCACUCCUCUCCACAUAGGCACUUUGGAUGGCUUCUCAGGCGUGGAUGGGAUUGUUGCUUGAAUCUCCAAUACCACAUUGUGUCCAGCAUAUGCAAAAGCCACAUCUCCCAAUGCGCUGAAGAAGUUGAAGACUGUCCCUGCAGUGCUCUUAGCAGCAUAACCAUAUUGCACAUCAGGCUGAACACCCUUAUGGACAGAAGCUGUCCAAGCAAUGGUUGAGUAACUCAAGGACAUGACUGCAGCUGCCAGAGAGACACCAGAGAUGGAGUUGAAGUUGGGAAGGUGCGAGAGUACAAAGUGAACCGAGGCAAAGAUCAUUAUGAAGUAGGUUUGUUUGAUCGAUUUGCAGUUUUUGCAUACAAGAUCAUGGAACUUCUUCAGUGAUUUGCCUCCAGUAACCAUGUAGACGAUACACACACCAACUUCAACAAUUAGUUGCUGAGGAACAACAAUGUAAAGACCAAGCUUUUCACCAAAGGCAUAUUGACCAAGUUCAUGAUAUCUAUCAAAUCUUUUUCCAGGCACCAUUUCAUGCAUUUCCACCAUUUGCCAUAAAGUGUAUAGCGUAAUCACCCAUGAUAGGACGAGGAUAACAACACCAGGACCCCAUCCAAGCUCUGACAUGGCAUAAGGAAGACUGAGGACACCAGCUCCAACCAUGGCAGUGACAUUGUGAAAAGCUGAAUACCACCAUUUUGCAUUCCUUGAAGAAGUGAUUGGAAGCCAUUCAUCUAUUGCCUUCUGUUUUGCUAGUUG